GGGCCCGUGGCGGAAUUGGCAGACGCGGCGGACUUAAAAUCCGCUCCCCGGCAACGGGGGUGAGGGUUCGAUUCCCUCCGGGCCCA
This 86-nucleotide transfer RNA is filed under the name Planctomycetota bacterium. RNAcentral describes it as "Planctomycetes bacterium tRNA-Leu". It matches the Rfam family "tRNA". From Rfam's summary of the family: Transfer RNA (tRNA) molecules are approximately 80 nucleotides in length. Lineage: Bacteria; Pseudomonadati; Planctomycetota. The record is from RNAcentral.